AACGCACAUUGCGCCCAUCGGUAUUCCGUUGGGCAUGUCUGUUUGAGCGUCAUUACAAAUCUCGACGCGAGUCGGUUGUGAGCCCGCCGGGCCUUCCCGCCCGGCCGGCUUCAAAGUCAUGAGCUCUGCUGGCCGUCUUGCCAACCGUGACAUAGUAAACCACUUGUCCGGGGAGGCAUCGCGACGGUUCGGCCUGAACAACACCAAACCCACCAGGUUUGACCUCAGAUCAGACAAGGAUACCCGCUGAACUUAA
Molecule: unclassified non-coding RNA, 256 nt
Filed under: uncultured Orbiliales
Lineage: Eukaryota; Fungi; Ascomycota; Orbiliomycetes; Orbiliales
Description: sequence contains 5.8S rRNA gene, ITS2, 28S rRNA gene
Rfam family: 5.8S ribosomal RNA (bases 1-52)
Source: RNAcentral